RNAcentral lists this ribosomal RNA (484 nucleotides) under uncultured bacterium. RNAcentral describes it as "partial 16S ribosomal RNA". It matches the Rfam family "Bacterial small subunit ribosomal RNA", at positions 30 to 507 of the family's 1533-position model. The record is from RNAcentral.
AUUGGACGCUGGCGGCAGGCCUAACACAUGCAAGUCGAGCGGAUGAAGGGAGCUUGCUCCUGGAUUCAGCGGCGGACGGGUGAGUGAUGCCUAGGAAUCUGCCUGGUAGUGGGGGAUAACGUCCGGAAACGGGCGCUAAUACCGCAUACGUCCUGAGGGAGAAAGUGGGGGAUCUUCGGACCUCACGCUAUCAGAUGAGCCUAGGUCGGAUUAGCUAGUUGGUGGGGUAAAGGCCUACCAAGGCGACGAUCCGUAACUGGUCUGAGAGGAUGAUCAGUCACACUGGAACUGAGACACGGUCCAGACUCCUACGGGAGGCAGCAGUGGGGAAUAUUGGACAAUGGGCGAAAGCCUGAUCCAGCCAUGCCGCGUGUGUGAAGAAGGUCUUCGGAUUGUAAAGCACUUUAAGUUGGGAGGAAGGGCAGUAAGUUAAUACCUUGCUGUUUUGACGUUACCAACAGAAUAAGCACCGGCUAACUUCGUG